AUGAGUCAUUGGUAUCUGGCAGUCGUCAAUGCCCAAAAACGUGAGAUUCAAGUAUUGGACUCGCUUGGUUCUCGGAUCAAUCGGAGUGACCUUACUAUUACGCGCAUCUUGUGGACUAUUUAUGCUAAAUUUUAUGGAAUAUUGGACAGCAGAUGUAUUAACAGAUCAGUUCACCCAGGUAUUUCCUUUUAUACAUUAUCUCAUUAUUUUAUUGGAAUAAUGUUAUAUCGAUUUUUUGUAUAUCUUGCAGGAGGAUAUCAAGCACUUUCGACGAAAAUUAGUUGUCAUUUUGCUCGAUUCAGAACUGAAUAA
RNAcentral lists this ribosomal RNA (312 nucleotides) under Triticum aestivum (bread wheat). RNAcentral's name for it is "partial small subunit ribosomal RNA". The record is from RNAcentral. Lineage: Eukaryota; Viridiplantae; Streptophyta; Magnoliopsida; Poales; Poaceae.